ACGCAAUAAGUAUUCCGCCUGGGGAGUACGACCGCAAGGUUGAAACUCAAAGGAAUUGACGGGUCCCCGCACAAGCAGCGGAGCAUGUGGUUUAAUUCGAAGCAACGCGAAGAACCUUACCAGGGCUUGACAUCCUCAGAAUUCUUAGGAAACUAGGGAGUGCCCUUCGGGGAACUGAGAGACAGGUGGUGCAUGGUUGUCGUCAGCUCGUGUCGUGAGAUGUUGGGUUAAGUCCCGCAACGAGCGCAACCCUUAUGUUCAGUUACCAGCGGGUAAAGCCGGGGACUCUGGACAGACUGCCGGGGAUAACUCGGAGGAAGGUGGGGACGACGUCAAAUCAUCAUGCUCCUUACGUCCUGGGCUACACACGUGCUACAAUGGCCGCAACAAAGGGAAGCCACCUCGCGAGAGGGAGCAA
Molecule: ribosomal RNA, 418 nt
Filed under: uncultured bacterium
Lineage: Bacteria
Description: bacterial SSU rRNA
Rfam family: Bacterial small subunit ribosomal RNA
Source: RNAcentral